RNAcentral lists this ribosomal RNA (354 nucleotides) under uncultured bacterium. Its description in RNAcentral is "bacterial SSU rRNA". It matches the Rfam family "Bacterial small subunit ribosomal RNA", at positions 32 to 369 of the family's 1533-position model. The record is from RNAcentral.
AAUCAACGCUGACGGCGUGCCUAACACAUGCAAGUCGAACGCGAAAGCCUCGCAAGGGGCAAGUAGAGUGGCAAACGGGUGAGUAACACGUGGGUGACCUGCCUUCGAGUGGGGGAUAACGUCCCGAAAGGGACGCUAAUACCGCAUAACAUCCUGCCUUUUAAGAGGUGGACAUCAAAGCUGGGGACCGCAAGGCCUGGCGCUUGAAGAGGGGCCCGCGCCUGAUUAGCUAGNGGGUGGGGUAAUGGCUCACCAAGGCAACGAUCAGUAUCCGGCCUGAGAGGGCGGACGGACACACUGGGACUGAGACACGGCCCAGACUCCUACGGGAGGCAGCAGUGGGGAAUUGUUCGC